This 253-nucleotide ribosomal RNA is filed under the name uncultured bacterium. Its description in RNAcentral is "partial 16S ribosomal RNA". It matches the Rfam family "Bacterial small subunit ribosomal RNA", at positions 524 to 776 of the family's 1533-position model. The record is from RNAcentral.
GACGAGGGGUCCAAGCGUUGUUCGGAAUCAUUGGGCGUAAAGCGGGUGUAGGUGGCUCUAUAAGUCAGGAGUGAAAGCCCUGAGCUUAACUUGGGAAGUGCUUUUGAUACUGUAGAGCUUGAAUGUGGGAGAGGAUCGUGGAAUUCCAGGUGUAGUGGUGAAAUACGUAGAUAUCUGGAGGAACACCGGUGGCGAAGGCGGCGAUCUGGCCCAACAUUGACACUGAGACCCGAAAGUGCGGGGAUCAAACAGG